CCUACGGGCGGCAGCAGUGAGGAAUAUUGGUCAAUGGACGCAAGUCUGAACCAGCCAUGCCGCGUGCAGGAUGACGGCUCUAUGAGUUGUAAACCGCUUUUGUACGAGGGUAAACCCCGAUACGUGUCUCCGGUUGCAAGUAUCGUACGAAUAAGGAUCGGCUAACUCCGUGCCAGCAGCCGCGGUAAUACGGAGGAUCCGAGCGUUAUCCGGAUUUAUUGGGUUUAAAGGGUGCGUAGGCGGUUGGAUAAGUUAGAGGUGAAAAGGCGGGGCGCAACCCCGAGACUGCCGCUAAUACUGUUGGACUAGAGAAUAGUAGAGGUAGGCGGAAUGUAUGGUGUAGCGGUGAAAUGCUUAGAGAUCAUACAGAACACCGAUUGCGAAGGCAGCUUACCAAACUAUAUCUGACGUUGAGGCACGAAAGCGUGGGUAGCAAACAGGAUUAGAUACCCCAGUAGUG
This 460-nucleotide ribosomal RNA is filed under the name uncultured bacterium. Its description in RNAcentral is "partial 16S ribosomal RNA". It matches the Rfam family "Bacterial small subunit ribosomal RNA", at positions 338 to 795 of the family's 1533-position model. The record is from RNAcentral.